AAGGCCUCGACGGCACCUCCAUCACAGCUUCAAAGGUACAAUUAUGAAGGAACCCAACAACAACGCCACCAUUGACUCUGUUGACAGAAUCAUACGUGGCACCAAUUACCCCGGUCUGGGCCCGUCAGCUGGAGGAGAGCAGAGCCGGAGGAAGUCAAAAGGACGGCUGAGCGUCUCCUCUGUGGGGUCGGAGGCUGAUGCGCUGACGGGGACACACAUCUCUGAUCCGGAGAGUCACUGUGUGUGUGUGUGUGUGUGUGUGUCGCUGACAUUAAGCCGAUACGGAGGUCGACGUUACCAC
This is a long non-coding RNA of Gasterosteus aculeatus aculeatus (three-spined stickleback), 301 nucleotides long. The record is from Ensembl. Lineage: Eukaryota; Metazoa; Chordata; Actinopteri; Perciformes; Gasterosteidae.